Molecule: ribosomal RNA, 404 nt
Filed under: uncultured bacterium
Lineage: Bacteria
Description: bacterial SSU rRNA
Rfam family: Bacterial small subunit ribosomal RNA
Source: RNAcentral
UGGGGAAUAUUGCACAAUGGGGGGAACCCUGAUGCAGCGACGCCGCGUGAGUGAAGAAGUAUUUCGGUAUGUAAAGCUCUGUCAGCAGGGACGAAGAUGACGGUACCUGCAGAAGAAGCCCCGGCUAACUACGUGCCAGCAGCCGCGGUAAUACGUAGGGGGCAAGCGUUAUCCGGAUUUACUGGGUGUAAAGGGAGCGUAGACGGCAGGGCAAGCCAGAAGUGAAAGGCCGGGGCUCAACCCCGGGACUGCUUUUGGAACUGCCCGGCUGGAGUACAGGAGAGGUAAGCGGAAUUCCUGGUGUAGCGGUGAAAUGCGUAGAUAUCAGGAGGAACACCAGUGGCGAAGGCGGCUUACUGGACUGAGACUGACGUUGAGGCUCGAAAGCGUGGGGAGCAAACAGG